RNAcentral lists this long non-coding RNA (321 nucleotides) under Sorghum bicolor (sorghum). RNAcentral describes it as "long non-coding RNA (SBIC_LNC007227)". The record is from RNAcentral. Lineage: Eukaryota; Viridiplantae; Streptophyta; Magnoliopsida; Poales; Poaceae.
UGGUGGUGGGGUGUGGACAAGUUGUGUGCUGUUGGCCUGCCCACGGUCGUCCUUGUUUCAGAAAUGCGUUUCCGUAAGGGGACACGUUUUGUCUGAUUGCCCAACUUGGCCUGGCAGCUCGGUGGGGAGGAGGAGCUCGGGCACUCCAUCACGGCUUGCUCCGCUCUUCUCCAGAUGGUCUCUCUCCCUGAAUAAUUUAGGCCUUGUUUAGUUCCUAAAAAAUUUUGUAAAAAUUUUCAGAUUCUCCGUCACAUCGAAUCUUUAGACGUAUGUAUGGAGUAUUAAAUAUAGAUGAAAAUAAAAACUAAUUACACAGUUUGG